RNAcentral lists this ribosomal RNA (253 nucleotides) under uncultured bacterium. Its description in RNAcentral is "partial 16S ribosomal RNA". It matches the Rfam family "Bacterial small subunit ribosomal RNA", at positions 524 to 776 of the family's 1533-position model. The record is from RNAcentral.
UACAGAGGGUGCAAACGUUGCUCGGAUUUACUGGGCGUAAAGCGCAUGUAGGCGGACUAGCAAGUCGGGUGUGAAAUCCCUGGGCUUAACCCAGGAACUGCAUUCGAAACUGCCUGUCUUGAGUUAUGGAGAGGGUGGCGGAAUUCCCGGUGUAGAGGUGAAAUUCGUAGAUAUCGGGAGGAACACCAGUGGCGAAGGCGGCCACCUGGACAUUUACUGACGCUGAGAUGCGAAAGCGUGGGGAGCAAACAGG